RNAcentral lists this long non-coding RNA (274 nucleotides) under Trifolium pratense (red clover). Its description in RNAcentral is "long non-coding RNA (TPRA_LNC005718)". The record is from RNAcentral. Lineage: Eukaryota; Viridiplantae; Streptophyta; Magnoliopsida; Fabales; Fabaceae.
CACCUAGAGAUAAAGAGAGUUUGGGCUGGAGAAGAAUCACUUCUCCCCUCUCCUUAACAUAUCUCUAAUGAUUAUGAUUCUAACCUUUUACCUUAGCAAAAACGGAGAAAUGAUGAUUAAUCUUCAAGCUCCCAAGCUCUUCCUCUCCUCUUUGUUCUUCCUAAGGUACCUUCCAUCAUGUAGGUGAAAUUGCAAGUGGAUUUAGAGCUAAGAAUGAGUGGGAGUGGUUGGUGAAAGAAUGAAUAGGUUGGUGCUAGUUGGCGUGUGAAGNNNN